CAGUCGCCGCGGGAAUACAGAGGGUGCGAGCGUUAAUCGGAUUUACUGGGCGUAAAGCGUGCGUAGGCGGCUUCUUAAGUCGGAUGUGAAAUCCCUGAGCUUAACUUAGGAAUUGCAUUCGAUACUGGGAAGCUAGAGUAUGGGAGAGGAUGGUAGAAUUCCAUGUGUAGCGGUGAAAUGCGUAGAGAUCUGGAGGAAUACCGAUGGCGAAGGCAGCCAUCUGGCCUAAUACUGACGCUGAGGUACGAAAGCAUGGGGAGCAAACAGGAUUAGAUACCCCCGUAGUCCCUGUCUCUUAUAA
This 301-nucleotide ribosomal RNA is filed under the name uncultured bacterium. Its description in RNAcentral is "partial 16S ribosomal RNA". It matches the Rfam family "Bacterial small subunit ribosomal RNA", at positions 509 to 809 of the family's 1533-position model. The record is from RNAcentral.